GGCGCCGGGCGGGCGGGUGAACCCAGCCAGUCCCCUCCCCGUCCCCACAACCCCCGCCUCCGGGUGGGGGCGACCCGGCCUCUCCCCGCCGCUGCCUGGCCAGCCCCGGAGGGAGGCUGGGCAGGUGCCCUCUGCCGAAAGUGCUGAAACCGAAAACCGUCGCCACUCAAGGAGAAUUGAGGCAAGUGGGGCCGCGACUCAGCUCUGCGACACCCUGCCCCCAGCCUCGGCCGGGGCUCCUGCCGACGCGCCGCACCCCGCCUGCUGGGCUGGCGGCCGCGACUUGGGAGUGCAAAGCCGGGCGGAGGGCGGCUGCGAGGCGCGCAGCUUUGUGCGCUGGGACAGGGCCGGGCGCCGCGGGGCGGGCGGCCAGCCCGGGGCUGUCAGAGGCUCCCCGCAGAACCGAGCUCCGCGCCGCCCACGGAGCCCACCUCGCUGCCCCGCGACCGCCAGCGCCUCUCCGCUCUGGCCCGAAGCACGACGCCCGCAGCCGGGAGCCCCUCCGGAGCCGGCUGACCCCAAAUGGAUUCCCAACAGGUGGCCGGGAGAGACAGACCCACCGACUGACGGACUGACAAUGGCCUUUUACGAACAAACUGACCUGAAGUUAGACGCAAGUCUGCAUCUUUCUCCCUCACGCUCAUGAGAAAACACAUCAACAGGAUUCCAGGAAGGCACCAGUCCCCGCACGCUCCAUCUGAGAAUCGCUUGCAGCCGCAGGCCCCGCCAAAAUUCGCCGAGACAAGUCCCAGAUGCUGUUUCGACCCUUCCAGAAGGGAGCAAGGCUCAGGAUCGAUCGUCGGAGGGUCUGCCUGUUCCUGGAAUGUGAAGAAGUUGGGCAGAUGAAGAUGUAAGAGAGGCCUAGAGGGCCCCUGGGCUAGGAAGCCCUAUUAACCUCGCAUCCCACCCAAAGCCCCGAGUUUGCAUUUGCACACCUCCUCCUCCCCAAGCAGAUCCAGUGGGUUGCACACGUCAGGCUUAAGCUGAGUCACCUGACGGUACGUGGAACGUACAUGCAAUUGUACGCGAACACACACGGUAGAAUUAGAGGACCACUAAGAACAGAAUUUGGGGAAAAAAGAAGUGUCCACAGACAGAAUCAUUCUAGCGCACGGCCCAGUUGUCCAGAUGCUGACAAAAGCCACAGUGCCGUUGCCCAGCCACAGGGGCAUACGUAGAGAGAGAGGGCCGGGCGGAUGGAGGAUGCAGGCUUCGAAGCUUCCUGCUAGAGGGAUGUUGCCUCCCUAGGGAAAAACUUUGUUGAGCCGACUGGGUGAAAGGUUUCAGGUCAAGUCCAGGAGACUACAAAGAGCACCUCCUCCACCCCAAAGCUGACCCUUUUCCCUUCCUCCCAGCUGGGCUGGAGACACACAGAAGAAGGCAAUCCGGGAAAGGUUCAUUUGGACCGGGAUGGUUUAUUUGUUAUUAUUAUUGGUUUAGGAGAUUGCAUUCUGAAGGAGGAUGGGGUGGAGAGCAUAGGUGCAUCACUCAGUGAGCACCUAAUACCUAAUGUGCACCUAAUGCCUGAUACAAACCUUGGGCUCUAAUCGGGUUCAUGAAGUGGGAGGGCCCUGAUUUUGCCCCUACCACUCCUCUUACGCUAAAUUUAGUCUUUAAAAAGGUUAGCUCAGCUCCACACCUUCCUGCCUUCCCUUCCAGCCCAGUCCCCUUUGUAUAAAAUAAUUCUGCAAAAGAACGCUCUAAAGAACACCGAAUUAUUUUUAUUAAACUACUUUUCUUAGUGCGAUAUUGGGAAGUUCUGACCCCCUCCUCCCCUGUCCCAGGCAGAAGUCCCUGUCCUGGCCCAGUGCGGGUAGGGAUUGAAGUGGAGGGAGUGAUUCUCAGAGCAGCUCUCCUAGAAAGCCCAAACAAGCACACAGAUUUGUUUUUGGUUUCAACUCCGUUUGCCUGCCUAGUUCGGGCGAACCUUCCAGACAGUAGGCACCGAGGUCUCACUGCAGGAGAGGCAGGCACAAUGGAUGCAAUGGUGCCCUCCCUUACACUUCACUUCCCUCCCCGACUCUCUCUUUCUCUGAAAGUAGGGGGUGAGUUUGGGAAGAUUCUUUUAGACAAAAAAAAAAAAAAAAGGAAAAAAGAGGACGUUCUGGGCCAGCAAGUCGGAUGACCACCCUGCAAGGGGCAGAGGAAGGACUGUCUCCUGAAGAAGAGAUGAACCAUCUGGAAAACACAGCAGGAGGACACUUUUAAACAAAUGUAGUUGCCCUAGAAAUGGAGGGGGCUUAGGAGUAUGAGUAGGGAAGAAGUUCUUUCCUUUGGGGGACAAACACUGUGUCCUUUGAAUUUUUCCCAAAGAUACACUUGAUUCCUGGAAAUUGUAGUAAGUUUGUUCUUGUAGAUGUUCUAACAAUAAA
Long non-coding RNA from Mirounga angustirostris (Northern elephant seal), 2372 nucleotides. RefSeq lists it as uncharacterized. The transcript has 4 exons. Lineage: Eukaryota; Metazoa; Chordata; Mammalia; Carnivora; Phocidae. The record is from RefSeq and is a predicted model, not a curated record.